This 253-nucleotide ribosomal RNA is filed under the name uncultured bacterium. RNAcentral's name for it is "partial 16S ribosomal RNA". It matches the Rfam family "Bacterial small subunit ribosomal RNA", at positions 524 to 776 of the family's 1533-position model. The record is from RNAcentral.
UACAGAGGGGGCAAGCGUUGUUCGGAAUUACUGGGCGUAAAGGGCGCGUAGGCGGCCUGCUAAGUCGAACGUGAAAUCCCUGGGCUCAACCCAGGAACUGCGUCCGAUACUGGUUGGCUUGAAUCCGGGAGAGGGAUGUGGAAUUCCAGGUGUAGCGGUGAAAUGCGCAGAUAUCAGGAGGAACACCAAUGGCGAAGGCAGCACUCUGGGACGUGACUGACGCUGAGACGCGAAAGCGUGGGGAGCAAACAGG